Molecule: ribosomal RNA, 253 nt
Filed under: uncultured bacterium
Lineage: Bacteria
Description: partial 16S ribosomal RNA
Rfam family: Bacterial small subunit ribosomal RNA
Source: RNAcentral
UACAGAGGUCCCGAGCGUUGUUCGGAUUCACUGGGCGUAAAGGGUGCGUAGGUGGCAUGAUAAGUUUGAUGUGAAAUCUCCGGGCCCAACCCGGAAAAUGCAUUGAAUACUAUCAGGCUGGAGGUUUGGAGGGGGGACUGGAAUUCUCGGUGUAGCAGUGAAAUGCGUAGAUAUCGAGAGGAACACCAGUGGCGAAGGCGAGUCCCUGGACAACACCUGACACUGAGGCACGAAAGCUAGGGGAGCAAACAGG